AUACRUCAAAGAGUUGAGAAAGAGAAUUUGGGAGAUAACUCAUUUGAGAAACGAUGGAACGACGGUGAAUGAAACUACACAAGAGAAAUUGUCGGAACUCAAAUCAUAUGCCUCUCAAGUGAUUGAUGGUACACUUGACAUGAACAACGACGAGAUUUUUGUGCAAGUCUUUGGACCAGAGAAACAUGGGCGUGUUCGAGGUUAUGG
Momordica charantia (bitter melon) is the source of this 207-nucleotide non-coding RNA. The record is from RefSeq and is a predicted model, not a curated record. Lineage: Eukaryota; Viridiplantae; Streptophyta; Magnoliopsida; Cucurbitales; Cucurbitaceae.